GGGUAAGUCCUGUGCGACUUGCUCCCACCGAUUCCACCAGGGCCGGAAGGCAGCAAGGGUAUGAGUGGUUGAGCAGUGCGACACAGCCAGCUUGCCCUUU
RNAcentral lists this signal recognition particle RNA (100 nucleotides) under Bacteroidales bacterium. RNAcentral's name for it is "signal recognition particle sRNA small type". It matches the Rfam family "Bacteroidales small SRP". From Rfam's summary of the family: The non-coding component of the signal recognition particle in Bacteroides Lineage: Bacteria; Pseudomonadati; Bacteroidota; Bacteroidia; Bacteroidales. The record is from RNAcentral.